Molecule: non-coding RNA, 291 nt
Filed under: Alloiococcus otitis ATCC 51267
Lineage: Bacteria; Bacillati; Bacillota; Bacilli; Lactobacillales; Carnobacteriaceae
Description: Bacterial large subunit ribosomal RNA
Rfam family: Bacterial large subunit ribosomal RNA
Source: Rfam by way of RNAcentral
CCCUAUCCGUCGCGGGCGUUGGAGAUUUGAAGAGAGCUAUCCUUAGUACGAGAGGACCGGGAUGGACGCACCGCUGGUGCACCAGUUGUCAUGCCUAUGGCAGAGCUGGGUAGCUAUGUGCGGGAAGGAUAAGCGCUGAAAGCAUCUAAGCGUGAAGCCCCCUUUAAGAUGAGAUCUCCCAUUCCAAGAAGGAAGUAAGACCCCUGAGAGAUGAUCAGGUCGAUAGGCUUGAAGUGGAAGUGUAGCGAUACAUGGAGCGGACAAGUACUAAUCGGUCGAGGACUUAACCAC